GAUGAACGCUAGCGGCAGGCCUAAUACAUGCAAGUCGAGGGGCAGCACGGUAGCAAUACUGGUGGCGACCGGCAAACGGGUGCGGAACACGUACGCAACCUUCCUUUAAGAGAUGAAUAGCCCGAAGAAAUUCGGAUUAAUGCAUCGUAAGAUUGUGGGAUGGCAUCAUCCAGCAAUUAAAGAUUUAUUUCGCUUAAAGAUGGGCGUGCGCCUGAUUAGGAGUUGGUGAGGUAACGGCUCACCAAGCCGACGAUCAGUAACUGGCGUGAGAGCGCGACCAGUCACACGGGCACUGAGACACGGGCCCGACUCCUACGGGAGGCAGCAGUAAGGAUAUUGGUCAAUGGACGCAAGUCUGAACCAGCCAUGCCGCGUGAAGGAUGAAAGCCCUCUGGGUUUGUAAACUUCUUUUAUCUGGGAANAAACCACCUUUUUCUAAGGGUGUUGACGGUACCAGAGGAAUAAGCACCGGCUAACUACGUGCCAGCCGCCGCCGUAAC
RNAcentral lists this ribosomal RNA (500 nucleotides) under uncultured bacterium. RNAcentral describes it as "bacterial SSU rRNA". It matches the Rfam family "Bacterial small subunit ribosomal RNA", at positions 28 to 524 of the family's 1533-position model. The record is from RNAcentral.